GUGCUGAUGAAGAGUCCCCAAACCUGGACGAAACAGCUGUCCAGUAC
RNAcentral lists this non-coding RNA (47 nucleotides) under Trichobilharzia regenti. The record is from RNAcentral. Lineage: Eukaryota; Metazoa; Platyhelminthes; Trematoda; Strigeidida; Schistosomatidae.